GACGAACGCUGGCGGCGCUGCUUAACACAUGCAAGUCGAACGGAAAGGCCCUGCUUUUGUGGGGUGCUCGAGUGGAGAACGGGUGAGUAACACGUGAGUAACCUGCCCUUGACUUUGGGAUAACUUCAGGAAACUGGGGCUAAUACCGGAUAGGAGCUCCUGCUGCAUGGUGGGGGUUGGAAAGUUUCAGCGGUUGGGGAUGGACUCGCGGCUUAUCAUCUUGUUGGUGGGGUAGUGGCUUACCAAGGCUUUGACGGGUAGCCGGCCUGAAAGGGUGACCGGCCACAUUGGGACUGACAUACGGCCCAGACUCCUACGGGAGGCAGCACUGGGGAAUAUUGCACAAUGGGCGGAAGCCUGAUGCAACAACGCCGCGUGCGGGAUGACGGCCUUCGGGUUGUAAACCGCUUUCGCCUGUGACGAAGCGUGAGUGACGGUAAUGGGUAAAGAAGCACCGGCUAACUACGUGCCAGCAGCCGCGGUGAUACGUAGGGUGCGAGCGUUGUCCGGAUUUAUUGGGCGUAAAGGGCUCGUAGGUGGUUGAUCGCGUCGGAAGUGUAAUCUUGGGGCUUAACCCUGAGCGUGCUUUCGAUACGGGUUGACUUGAGGAAGGUAGGGGAGAAUGGAAUUCCUGGUGGAGCGGUGGAAUGCGCAGAUAUCAGGAGGAACACCAGUGGCGAAGGCGGUUCUCUGGGCCUUUCCUGACGCUGAGGAGCGAAAGCGUGGGGAGCGAACAGGCUUAGAUACCCUGGUAGUCCACGCUGUAAACGGUGGGUACUAGGUGUGGGGUCCAUUCCACGGGUUCCGUGCCGUAGCUAACGCUUUAAGUACCCCGCCUGGGGAGUACGGCCGCAAGGCUAAAACUCAAAGGAAUUGACGGGGCCCCGCACAAGCGGCGGAGCAUGCGGAUUAAUUCGAUGCAACGCGUAGAACCUUACCUGGGUUUGACAUGGAUCGGGAGCGCUCAGAGAUGGGUGUGCCUCUUUCGGGGUCGGUUCACAGGUGGUGCAUGGCUGUCGUCAGCUCGUGUCGUGAGAUGUUGGGUUAAGUCCCGCAACGAGCGCAACCCUUGUUCACUGUUGCCAGCACGUUAUGGUGGGGACUCAGUGGAGACCGCCGGGGUCAACUCGGAGGAAGGUGGGGAUGACGUCAAGUCAUCAUGCCCCUUAUGUCCAGGGCUUCACGCAUGCUACAAUGGCUGGUACAGAGAGUGGCGAGCCUGUGAGGGUGAGCGAAUCUCGGAAAGCCGGUCUCAGUUCGGAUCGGGGUCUGCAACUCGACCUCACGAAGUCGGAGUCGCUAGUAAUCGCAGAUCAGCAACGAUGCGGUGAAUACGUUCCCGGG
RNAcentral lists this ribosomal RNA (1344 nucleotides) under uncultured bacterium. RNAcentral's name for it is "16S ribosomal RNA". It matches the Rfam family "Bacterial small subunit ribosomal RNA", at positions 28 to 1378 of the family's 1533-position model. The record is from RNAcentral.